CCUACGGGGCGCAGCAGGCGCGAAAACUUUACAAUGCGGGCAACCGUGAUAAGGGAACCUCGAGUGCCUGUACAUGCAGGCUGUCUGGGUGUCUAAAACACACCCAAAGAAAGGGCCGGGCAAGACCGGUGCCAGCCGCCGCGGUAA
RNAcentral lists this ribosomal RNA (147 nucleotides) under uncultured archaeon. RNAcentral describes it as "partial 16S ribosomal RNA". It matches the Rfam family "Archaeal small subunit ribosomal RNA", at positions 322 to 473 of the family's 1478-position model. The record is from RNAcentral.